GAUGAACGCUAGCUACAGGCCUAACACAUGCAAGUCGAGGGGCAUCGCGUGCCGGAUUUCGGUCCGGCACGGCGGCGACCGGCGCACGGGUGAGUAACGCGUACCCUACCUUCCCCUUUCCCGGGGCCAGCCCUGCGAAAGCAGGAUUAAUCCCCGGCGGUGUCCCGGGUCCGCAUGGGUGCGGGACCAAAGGAGCGAUCCGGAAAGGGAUGGGGGUGCGUUCCAUUAGCUUGACGGCGGGGUAACGGCCCACCGUGGCGACGAUGGAUAGGGGUUCUGAGAGGAAGGCCCCCCACACUGGGACUGAGACACGGCCCAGACUCCUACGGGAGGCAGCAGUGAGGAAUAUUGGUCAAUGGGCGAGAGCCUGAACCAGCCAAGUAGCGUGGAGGACGACGGCCCUACGGGUUGUAAACUCCUUUUGCGCGGGGAUAAAGCGCUCCACGUGUGGGGCUU
This 456-nucleotide ribosomal RNA is filed under the name uncultured bacterium. RNAcentral describes it as "bacterial SSU rRNA". It matches the Rfam family "Bacterial small subunit ribosomal RNA", at positions 28 to 469 of the family's 1533-position model. The record is from RNAcentral.